Molecule: small nuclear RNA, 272 nt
Filed under: Nannospalax galili (Upper Galilee mountains blind mole rat)
Lineage: Eukaryota; Metazoa; Chordata; Mammalia; Rodentia; Spalacidae
Description: 7SK RNA (ENSNGAG00000006852.1)
Rfam family: 7SK RNA
About the family: 7SK was discovered as an abundant small nuclear RNA in the mid-70s but a possible function has only recently been suggested. Two independent studies have found that 7SK RNA binds the CDK9/cyclin T complex (known as elongation factor P-TEFb).
Source: RNAcentral
GGCUGUGAGGGUGAUCUGUUGGUGAUAUCUGUCAUCCCAUUGAUCGUGAGGUUGAUUUGGCUGAUCUGGCUUUCUAGGCCAGCGUGCUCCUCCCUCACCUCUCCUGUGUACUUUGCCAAAGAUGACACCUUUCCUAGCUAGAGGAGGAGCCUCAGUCAAAGGUAUUGAAGUAGCUGCUCCCCUGCUAGAACCUCCAAGCAUGCUCUCAAAGAAAGCUAUGGAGAGAAGCAUUGCUCAGCAGAUUUCACACUCCCACAUGAAUAUUGUUCUCU